AAGUCAGACACUACUAGACUUAAUGUCAAGAGGAAACCUUUAUGCCCCUUUGAAUUCCACCAAUGGGAGAAAAGUGGGAUAGAAAUGAAUUAAUUAUUAUUAUUAUUAUUAUUAUUAUUAUUAUUAUUAUUAUUUCAUGUAUAAACCUUUGACUGUGUGGAUCAUAACAAAUUGUGGAAAGUUCUUGGUGGUAUGGGGCUACCAAGCCACCUUGUCUGUCUCCUGAGGAAUCGGUAUAAUGACCAAAUAGCAGUAGUAAGAACAGACCACAGAACAACAGACUGCUUCAAGAUUGGGGAAGGGGUACGGUAGGGUUGUAUACUUUCACCCUACUUAUUCAACUUGUACGCAGAACACAUCAUGCGACAUGCAGGGCUUGAUGAAUCCAAGGCUGGAGUUAAAAUUGCUGGAAGAAACAUUAACAACCUUAGAUAUGCAGAUGAUAUACUUUGAUGGCUGAAAGUGAGGAGGAGCUGAGGAGCCUCAUAACCAAGGUGAAAGAAGAAAGCUGGGUUGCAGUUAAACAUCAAGCAAACCAAGAUUAUGGCAACCAGACUGAUUGAUAACUGGCAAAUAGAGGGCGAAAACGUAGAGGCAGUGACAAACUUUGUAUUUCUAGGUACGACGAUUACUGCAGACACAGACUGCAGCAAGGAAAUCAGAAGAUGAUUACUUCUUGGGAGGAGAGCCAAGACCAAUCUCGAUAAAAUACUGAAGAGUUGCAACAUUCACACGUGCUUCAAAUAGACAUGGGUUCUUUCUCCCACCCUGGAAAUUCCUAAGAUAUGUAUAUGCACCUCACUUGCCUCACUAGCAACAGAACCUCUGAUGAUGCCAGCCACAAAACAUCAGGAGAGAAUGCUACUGGAACAUGGCCACACAACAACCCAGUGAUUCCAGCCAUGAAAGCCUUCGGCAACACAUAGUCUAUGCUGAUUGAGACGUUUGGGGAUUUGAAGUCCAAAAAGAGUAGUAUUUUCAAAUUCUGUAAGGAAACAUAUACAUUGGCUUCAUUGGCUGGAGGAUGAUGGGACCUGUAAUUCAACAAACCCAAACGUUUCCAGACUCUUUAGUUUCCCUAUAGGAAAGAGCAUGGGAUGAAAAUGAAGGAUUUUCCAAACCAAUAUAUCUUCUAUAAAAAGUUACUUCUUUUAAAGAGCAAAGGGAUUGACCCUUUAAAAGUGUCACAUUAAUUAUAGAGAAGCCAAGUGUUUUUCUACAAAUAUAUACUUAAAGCUGCUUGGAGACCACAGAAUCCCUAAUCAGUGUGAUUCAUUAAAACAUAACUUUUCCAAAUUUGGAUACAAGUCAUGGCUACAAUCUAGGAAGUAGCAUCUUACCGUGGAUUUCCAACAUAAUUGUAUUGAUCAUCUCUUUUGUCCAUGCCCAAUCUUGUUUGUUAUCUCCUACACAGACAUAUUAAACAUCUAUAGAACACUUGUCACAGAUUGCCAUAUUUACCUUUUGAUAGCUUGACCAGAAUCUAAUGUGUGUAGGAACAUAGAAGAAGGAAACAACUUCCAGUUGACUCAUCAGCGACAAGUGAUAGUCAAUGAUGAUAUAACUUAAGCAGACCACAUAUUAUUCAAGAAAAAUCCAGGAGGAGUACAAUGAAUAUAUUUGGUCGUUGGCAUCUCAGUCUCCCCCUCUGUUGUUUAAAAUUUUGCAAAUCUACCUUUAACAUGGAUGAACAUGAAGAAUUAAUGGAUCGAUUUCACCUUUCCCAGCUUGAUUCUGGCUCAAUAUUUUGGGCUAUGACGCUCAUUGCUGCUGGCCACUGGCCAUGCUUGCUGGUGGCUGUGAGACUUAUAAUCCAAGUUCUUUGGAGGGUACCAUUGUCUAAUUCAUCACAAUGCAGUUUUAAAUGUUUAUUCAAGCCAGAAGAAAAAGUUGGACCGCACCUAUUUUGAAUUAGUGUGAACAUUGGAAUGGUCCUCCCACUGCUAUUAUCUCUUCCAAUCAGGAAGAACCAUGGUGCCCAAACUAGCUUGAGCCUUCACUCUCCUCUCUCCCUUUCUAAUGUGCCCUGCAAAAUAAUAAAGGCAAGAGUCAGAAGACAAAUUGUGCCAGAUUCAAGUAGAAUUAGGAAUCAAUCUUCCUCUUUCUUUUUUCCACUAUAGGAAAAGAAAUGGAAGGCAUAGAGAGGCUGACAAUCAGAAGAAUGUGACACUAUGGCAUUGUAUUUGUUUUCUCCAAGCUUGUAUGGGCAAGAACACAAAGAGCCAAACUACAGAUUCCAUCUGCAGGAAAAGAGAUUCUACCUAAACACUAAGAAGAACUUCCUAAUGGUAAGAACUGUUUCGUGGUAGGAUAUUCUGCCUUGGAGUCCCCUUCUCUGGUGAGUUUUAAACAGAAACUGGAUGAUCACCUGUUGACUGUUCUUUGAUCACGUAUUCCAGCAUGGCAUGGGAUUAGGCUAUAUGUUCCUUGUGGUCUCUUCCAAAUUUGUGAUUCUAUGAUUCUGUAACAGUGAGCUGAAAGUUGCCUGUAGUGACUGAUGUUCAAAUGUCAGGAAAAACCUGUCAGGGAAAUAGCCUAUUGCUAUACUCUUCCAAGGAAUCUGAUGAUAAUGUGCCAUGAUAUCCUCUAGAGCAUGUGCAAAGAGAAUCUGCCUCAAGCUAAGUGUGUGUAGACAAUAUUUCCUUAACCCCCAAGGAGCUGAGACAAAAUAUGAUAUUAGCGAACAGAGCUUUUAGCUCUAUGGAUUGGUUUGUUUCAAUUAUCCCAGAUCCUUGGCAUAUCUUUUCUGGAAAUAAUCCAUUGCUCCACAUUGAAUUGGGUCUUUUAUCUCAAGCAUUUGCAAACAAAUGCAAAACAAGCAAGCAAACAAAAAAGAAAUGAAAGGAGGAUGUGGCCUUUCCAGCUCUUAGCAGCAAGGUGGUAUACGACUGUGAACAAUUCCUAAACUUUUUAUCCUAGGAGAACAGAAAAUCUGUGAGAACAGAUGGUGACUAGGAAUCCCAAGUAGGUCACUCUCUGCUGAGUUAAUGUUCGUGCUAACACAGUACUUUCCCAGCAAGCAUUUGCUCCGCUCUGUUUUCAGCUAACUGCCUUCAGUGUUUUUGAUAACUUUUGAUCUGAUGCCACUCUUAACUGCAUUCUAUUUGAUUUUGUAAUUACUUUCAGGCUGAAGCUCAUGGAGAUAUUGAAGAAAAUCUGGGUUGCAAAUAUUCCCUGUAAUAACGGGUAUGCUGGCGUCUCUCUUAUCUGAUUUUAGACUGUUAUUGCAGCUUGGGGUCUUUCCUCCUUCUGAGGAACACACCUGAUCUAAUUGAAAACAAUAAUGGGAAGUCAGUGACAGGAUUACAGCCUGUACAAUGCACUGUAAUGAACGAAGCAAUCUGCCCAAUAUCAAGUCAUGCUAUGGGACUUUUCAUAUUAUACAGUUACAGCACUGUAGAUUUUAUCACACAAAGUCGCUAUUCCAUGGCAGUCAUUCUAUCGUAACACAAGCACUCUGGUUAUCACACCUCUCUCCAUUAGCACAAUUGCACCAAUCUGUUGAUCCGUGACCCCAUACCUUCAUAACCCUGCCUUCAAACACUUUGGCUGUCAGUGUUUUUAAAAUUAAUAUUAAAAGGAAUUUCACAGCUGCAGCUAUGGUUAAUUUAAAAAGUAAAAUACUACCAAAAUAUUUUUUUUAAUUCCUGACUCAGAAAUAGUGAAGGGAAGUGGGAAAGUGAGAAAGGAAGGCAAUUGGUUUUGCCCAUCAAUAGUGAGGGAUGUGCUAAGCACGAGGAGGAGACAGAUGGGUAGUGGUGUGAGCAUGCCCUUGUGUGAUAGGGACAGUCUGGCUUCAAUACUAGUUUGCUUUCCUUAUGUGACAAAGUGCCAUGAUUUCACUUUAAUUGCCUUAGAUCAGUCCUGUGGAAAUCUUGAUCCAGUCCUGUAGAAUCAUGGAAAUUCUAGGGAAUGGUUUUGAGAAUUCUCUGUGAUCUAGCUUCUCAUCAGAUAACAAAUUUUAGCAUUCCAUGGCAAUUAGCAUAGAAUCAUAGAGCGAUAGCAUGGAAGGCACCACAUGUUCAUCUAUCCAGACUGACCUAUUCCAGGAAUGAGAAAUUGUCAAUCACCAGAUGAUUUUGGCCUACAGCUCCAGCAGCUGUAGUGAGCAUAGCCAAUAGUUUGAAUUUAUGAAAGUGCAAUCAAUCCAGAAAUAUUUGUAGGGUCACAGGUGCUUACCAUAUUGUCUUUGACAGCAGCUCUCCAGGAUCACAGGCACUGGUUCUUUUUGCCACCUGCUCACUGAUCCUCAACACUGAAAAUGCCAGGGAUUUAAUCUGUGGUUUACUGCCCUCAUGCACUCUACCAAUGGAUGAUGAAAUCAUACAUAUGUGUGUGUAUCAUGUACAUACACACACACACAUUAAGAUUAUAUAUAUGUAUAUACACAUGUGUGUGCACACAUACAUCUAUACAUAUAAUAAAAGUGAAAAUAUGUAUGUGUGUAUGUGGCGCGGGUGUCUAUUCACACAGACAGCCUCCAGUCUCCAAAAACAGGCUAUAGUUCCCAGUGCUGUGGAGCCACCAAGUCACUUCCUUCCAGGACAUUGUAGGGUACAGCGAGCACAUCCCAGUGUUCCUUUCUCCCUCCAUUUGCAUGACCCCACCCACUGCCUCUCUCUUAAUUCUUUCCUACCCUUUUUAUGGCACACAGCAAACAGAUAUAUUGAUCAGCAACUGAACAUACUGGAGAGAGAUGUUUGGGGAGAAUUCACCAUGAUAUAUAAGAGUUGUAGGGACUGGAAUGUAUAGUUCACCUGCUAUUUAACAACACUCUGAACCCCACCAAUGAUAGAUCUGGAACUCACUUGGCACACAGACACAACAUGGCCAAAACUGCAUACUGGCGGAGUUUGGGGGUGAUUGAUCUUGACAUCCAGGAGUUAUAGUUCAGCCAUAUUCAGAGAACACUGAACCCACCAAGUAACGGAUCUGGUCCAAACUUGGCACACAGACCCAACAUGGCCAACUGUGAAUACUGGCAGAAUUUGGGGGAGUGUUGACCCAAGAUUUUUGGGAAUUGUAGUUCACCCACAUCAUUAUGAAUUUUCUUAUGGGAGCAUUCAUAAAAAGAUUUUUUUCCUAAGACAUAGCACAACAGAUGACCAAACUGAUAUUACCUAACAUCCAAAAACAAACAAUGCCCUUUUCAAAUAACCCAGACAUCACCGGUACCUAAGCUAGUAUGUAUUUAUAUAUAUUCUUAAAAUGUCCCAUAAGCUCUGAUACCAGAACAGCAGGAACUGGUCUGAGACAUGAGUGUUUAUGCCUAAAUUUUAGGCUUUAAUUUUGUCCAAACUAUUAACUAUAUGGCGAGUAUUCCAAGAGAAAAAAUUAGUAAAGCAAAUCUUGGGAAUAUUACUUUUUUGGACUAUAGCUCCCAGAAUCCUGCAGUGAGUGAAAUAAGCAAAGGCAUGAGAGAAAAUAAGUGCGCUAUAAAGGGAAUAAAGGGAGUGAGUUAAUAGGAAAAAACAAUUACACAAGUAAAACUAGUCCAUUACUGAAUGGGUUUCAUGGUGGGUAAAUUAUGCCUAUUACUCAAGAAAAUAAAGAAUACACAUCACAUCAGGAUGUCUGUCCUAUGCGCACCAGGAUGCUUGCCAUAAAAUUUUAUGUACGUUGCUCCCAAAGAGAACCCAGCAAGAAGUUUCUUCAUCACAGCAGUGCCAAAACAAAGAUGUCGGAUAUGUAAAAGAAAAGAAUGAAAAUCAAAAGAGAGAAAUAGAGACGUAAAACAUUAUGGGAGCAAUAAAAUGAAGCAAAACCAAGCAUGACUAUAAAGGAGUGGCUCAUUAAAGGGCGUCCUUUGCAACAGAAGUCAAAAGCUUGGGAUCAGUCACCAAGAGAGUUGUCUACUAGGUUUUGCCCAACAGGACAGAAAGAAAUAUCUAUCCCAAAGACUUUUCAAAAGUUUUUAAAGAAGAAUAUAGACAUUUAAGGACUUCAUCACAUGGGGGACAGUAGGGAUCAACAUGGGAAACCAUGGGGUAGCCUUACCGUGUCCCCUUACCGUUGUGGGUCAUGGACUGCCACCAGACAAUGUUUCUGUGCUGUCCCUGGCUUCAUUGAGUGCUGCCUCGGCUUCUUCGAUGAGGAGAUGGUUGGUUAGUCACCCAACUUCUCAGGGCUCCCUCUUAGAAUGCUGCUUGCAUAGAACUCAUUGGAGCCCCACCAGAAGUCGCCCUGCAUCAUUUGAUAGGGCUCCAGUGGACUCCAUCCUGGCAGUGUACUGGCAGCAUGCUGAAAUGGGGAAACCACUCAUCUGAUGAGGCCAUAAGUAAUGUUUUCUCUAGUUUCCUAAAUUAUGUUGGUCUUUUUUGGGGCACAGCUAGUACUUUGAAUUAUGACUGAAAUAGACUGGAAAUGGCCAUUAUAGCUUUCAAGCAGACUUGCCGACCACACAACAGGAGGUGUCUACAGACAACACAGGCUCCUCACCUUGGAAACGUAAAAGAGCACCUCCCCCAGAGCCAGAGAUGAGCACGACCUCCAGAGCCAGCAAUGAAAGAAGAAGCCUUUUCCUUUUCCUGUGUAUUUGUGUCUCAUUGUAUAUUAUUGUAAUAAGGCAUUGAAUGUUUACCUGUGUCUGUUUAUAUGCUGUAAUCUGUUCUGAGUUCAUGCAGGGAGAAGGGUGGAAUAUAGUUGUUGUUGUUGUUGUUGUUGUUGUUGUUGUUAUUAUUUAAGCAUGAUGAUAUUCCCUAUAACUGGACCCCAUCAAUAUCUAACUGGUCCUGAAAAAGAGUUUUAUGAGUACUCCUAAAAAAACCCAACAAAUCAAUAUGUCCUGAAACAAAGUCUGAACUUUCUCUAGAAGCCAAGAUGACUAAACUGGAGCUGCUGUACUUUGGACAUAUAUCAGAAGACAUGUCUUACUAGAAAAGACAAUAAUGUUUGAUUAGGUAGAAGGGAGUAGGAAAAGAGAAUGAUUGAAUUCCAGAUUGACUUAAUCAAGGAAGCCACAGUUCCAAGUUACAAAACCUGAGCAGGGCUGUUGAUGAAAAGAGGUCUCAUUCAUGAGUUUGCUAUAAGCCAAAGUCAACUUGACAGCAGUUAACAAUGACAACUGGUUGCCGUAUUCUGAAUUUUUUUCUAGUUUCUGAACAUUUUUACAAGGUUGCCUAUAUAUCUUUACUGCAAUAGUCCAAACAAGAUAUAAGGAAGUGAUUCUCUACCUGUGGGUCCCCAGGUGUUUUGGCCUACAACUUCCAGAAAUCCCAGCCAGUUUAUCAGCUGUUGGGAUUUCUGGGAGAUGAAGACCAAAACAUCUGGGGACCCACAAGUCGAGAACCAAUGAUAUAAGGUAUGAUUUACUACUGAAGAAGGGGAGGUUAAAAAACAAAGUUCGAAUGGAGAAUGGAUAGGAAAGCGGAAAAAUGUGAGGGAUAAGGCAGUGGCAGAAGGCAAGUUCCUACCCUCCCAGGCACCACUAAAAAACCGUUCAUGUCCCUAGUUAUAGCAAGCAUUUCAUUUGAUUUUCUGAUGCCUUGAAUCUCCCCACUCAGAGCUGCACUGUGAGCCCAAAUUGUGAUCUAACAAAAAUAUCUUCCUCCUGCCCAUUUUUAAAUUUAUAUACUUUUAUUAAGCCUCUCCAUUUAACACCUAACCUGCCACUUGGUCUGACACUGCAGGCAGGGAUCAUGUAUUGUACUGCCAGUUCUGUCCCCUGAUAUAUUUUUCAUCAUAUGAAGUCCUAGGGUUAUCAUUGGUUCCUAUGGGGAAAUGUGAAAUGAAAUAUCUUCUUCAAAGCAGCAAAGCCUAUAGGGGACAGCUUGGCCUCUGUUGGCGAGGAACCCCAGGGAAGCCGGAGUCUCUGCUGUAUAAGUGACCUUGCUCUGCCCCUUUUCUGUCAAAAUGAAAGCUCUUUUGCUUGUUGCUAUUUUUAAAAUCAGGUUUUCACUUUCUUGUAACGGCAGCAGUCAUUUCAUUUUUUUCAAAAUAUUGAUGCAGCCUCCAGUUUCCUACAGCUGUGAACAUAGUUUCGGCAGCUGUUGAAUCCAGACAGUAUCAAUAUUUUGUCAAGAUUCAGCUUUCUCAUAAUAGCAGCAGUCAUUUAGAGCAGGCCUUCUUUCAGGAGAUAUUUCAAACAACAAGUCAAAAGCUCGCUCCUAAUACGAUGAGUAAUCACAGUGCGAUUUUGCAAAUCUGACAAUUGCUAUUCAGGCUUCUCCUCCUCUUCCUUUUUGCUUUGCAAAUACCUUGUCAGCGACAUGAUCUUUUUCCUCAAAAAGUUAAUAAAGUGUGACUAGAAAUGAUCCAGAGUCUUUGAGAUAUUCUUUUGCCUUAUAGGCCAGGCAAAUGAGGCCCCUCUGGUAGAAUACAUAAUUUACAAACAAAAGGUUCUAGUUUGUGAUGUCUGUUAUCUAGAGUUCUAGCUCUUCUUCUCCUUCUCCUUUGUCUUCUUUGUCUUCCUCUUCUCCUCUUCCAUUUUGCUCUCCCACAUUUCACAUAUAAAAAUUGGGACACUUGUGGUCAAGCAACAUCAGAGAGUAGUCAAGAUGGAAAAAACUAUUCAUGAGGUGGAAAUGACAAACUAUGAGAGGCUGUAGGUAAAGAUAAAGGUCUUUCCCUGACAUUAAGUCUAGUCGUGUGGGACUCUGGGGGUUGGUGCUCAUCUCCAUUUCUAAGCCGAAGAGCCGGCAUUGUCCAUAGACACCUGCAAAGUCAUGUGGCUGGUAUGACUGAGUUCUAAUAAAUUGUUGAAUCUGCAAAUGGAGGACUGACUGAUACUUCUAGUAAGUAAAUUUCUGUGCUGGACUGGGAAGAAAUCUCUAAAUGGAAGUUCUAUUGAUUAAUAUGAGAGAUAUUAAGUGAGAUAGCUGUUGCAGCUUUUUUUAAAAAAAUGUUUUUGUCAAAAAAAUUUAAAAUUCCCUAAAAUCAGUAGAUGUGUGAAUAUUUCUGAAGGUUGGGGGGGAUGAUCCCCUGUUAUCCUGUGUCAUGCUAUAGAAAAUUCAAGGAGAUAGCUCUUGUAGUUUUUAUUUUAAUAAAUGUUUUUAUAAAAACUUUGAAAAUUCCCCAAAUAUCAGUGGAUGAGUGAAACAUUCUGAAACAUGAUGGGCUAACAGUGGCAAAUGUGUUCUACCAUUGUAGCAAGUUUCACCCCAAUCGCUGUUCAAAUGAAGGAGAAAAGAGCCCCUGAAGUUUCCCUACUUGUGCAAUGACUAAAACGUAAAAGUAAUGAAAUUUCAUUACUCUUAUUAUAGUAAUAAAAAAUCACUAACAAUACUUUAGAAUCAUUUUAGAAAUGAAACACUGGCACCCUCUAAUUUUGUAAUGAUUGUAAUUGAUCGCAAAGUUCUAAUAGAUAAUAUAGCAAAAAUACACAGGAAGAUUAUUGUUGAAAUAUAACUAAAAUAUGUAUAUCACUUCAAAAUGUAAAACAUCUACAAAAGUUUAAUAUAGUUGUAGGUAGAAACAAUUUUGGACCAAGCAAUGCUGGAAUUAUAUAAUAUAGAUAUAAAUUAAAGAGAGAUGGUGCCAACAAGCAUCAUUGUUUUACUUUUUUAUUUAUGGAGAUAAGAUCUGUUGAUGAGAGGGAAAUGCCAACUCUUGUUUCUCGCACUUAGAAAACAGUUCCUUGAUUAGAAACAAUAGGCAAUUAUCUAUGCUUGUGUUCGUCAGUUUAUGCCAUAACAGGUUUCUGUCAAUCUAGUCAAAAGCUACAGCUAUAUCAACAAAAGACAGCAUUUCCUUGUUGAGUUAAAAAAAAUAAUCAAACAAAUGUCAGUUCUGUUCUGCCCUUUCCUAAUACCAGCCUGUUCAGACUGUUUGCAGCUUCCCAAUUUUUCAAUUUUCAAACAGAUAUUUACUAUAUAAUUGAGAGUCAAUGUGUAAAAGACUAAUAUGUUGAUAAUUAUUGGUUUGUAAAUAAUCAUCCUUCUUGUGAAUAAGAACAACUACACUAUUUCCAGCCCACUGGCAUUAUACCUGUAUUGUUGAUUUGGGUAAAUGUCUGACUAAUAUAAGAUCUCACAACUUAGGAAAGUAUUUGAAUAUUUCUGGAGGGCUCAUAUUUUCUCCUGGGGCUUUGUUCAGAGUAAAAACUGCAAUCACAUUCUUUUUUGACACAAACACAGGAGGCCAAUAGGGCAAACAAGUAGAAAGAUAGUUCCCUGAAGAUACUGCUACACAAAAUCUGCGAAAAUGAAUAUUCUAUUGGUGUGAUAAAAUUUGCCCAACAAGUACUGGUAUGUCUGAGAGCAUAAUAAUAGAAAUGUUAUCCCAAAUCCGCUUCUCAUUCUUUUUCAUCACAAUGAGGAUCUCAGUUGGAUGAAAAGGGUCUAUUAUUUUAUAUGCUGAUGAUAUGCUAUUAAUUUCACUUACCUGUCUGGGUUUGAGAAGGCUUCUCUCUAAUCUGAAUGUAUUUUGUUCAAAAGAAAAGCUGAACCUGAACCAUACCCAAACAAAGGUGAUGGUGUUUGGAAAGAGACACUCAUUUUCAGUGGUUCAUAAAAAAUAAUUAGAUUGAACAAAGCUAGGGGUUCAUGUACCUGAAUUGAAGUCAUUACCCACAUUCUGUAUAGUUCUGCUAUCUGAGAAUCAGGAAUGACUCUCGGGUGGCUAAACUGUAUAUAGUUCUGAAUAAUUUUUCAAUGCUUGCACCUGGAAUUCCUGCAGCUUUGGUUCAAGCAGAUGUCAGUUUUCUUUCUAUUAGAUUUCAUAUGCAUUUAAUGUUACUUAACUAUUGAAGAUUCUACAGUUAGGGUUUUCUCCAAGUCAUGUUUUGAGCAACUUUCAAAAUGCAAUGGUUGGAAUUCAAGACAUCAAACAUUCCUUCAAUUGCAUCCUCCUCCACUUGGUCAUUUUUCUGUCUUCAAUUCAAUUCAGUUCUUCUCCUCAGUCAAGACAUAGUAUUAUUACUCAGUUUUGAAUUUUGUCCUGACUAUGGCACACAAUUGGCUAGGCAGACUACUAACAACUAUGUAACACAAUUUUUGUUCUUGGGUUAUAAAUGCCAUUUCCUAAUUAGUUCUAUCAUAAAAACAUGGAAAAUGCAGCCCAGUUUGAAAUAGCUUUUCAAUGAAUAUCUCAUAGAGUCUCAACCAAUUCAACACUGUUUGAAAGUACAGUAGAGUCUCACUUAUCCAACAUAAACGGGCCGGCAGAACGUUGGAUAAGCGAAUAUGUUGGAUAAUAAGGAGAGAUUAAGAAAAAGCCUAUUAAACAUCAAAAUAGGUUAUGAUUUUACAAAUUAAGCACCAAAACAUCAUGUCAUACAACAAAUUUGACAGAAAAAGUAGUUCAAUAAGCAGUAAUGUUAUGUUGUAAUUACUGUAUUUACAAAAUUAGCACCAAAAUAUCAUGUAAUAUUGAAAACAUUGACUACAAAAAUGCAUUGGAUAAUCCAGAACGUUGGAUAAGCGAGUGUUGGAUAAGUGAGACUCUACUGUAGUUGUUAUAUUCCAGAAAAUGAAGUUUCUGGAGUAUAACAACUACUUUCAAAGUAAGUACCACAUGAUUAAACAGGAAGUAACACUUUCAAAUCAGGAACAGAUUUUUUUUUUUUACAUAGUGAAUUGCUGAAAAUGGUAUAGAUACUAUGGUUCUGACCAUCGACAUUUACCUGUCAAAGCUCACAUUUGCAAAAUUUAGCUAAGUUUGUACAGCUCUACAUUUUUAAAGUAUCAAAUAUUCUCAUACUGUUUCGACCUCCAUUUCUGCAUUGGUUGGGGCCGGGCUGUGGCGCAGGCUGUUGAGCAGCUGCAAUAAAUCACUCUGACCAUGAGGUAAUGACCCUGUUUCCCUGAAAAUAAGACAUCCCCAAAAAAUAAGACCUAGCAGAGGUUUUGCUGAAUUGCUAAAUAUAAGGCCUCCCCCAAAAGUAAGACCUAGCAAAGUUUUUGUUUGGAAGCAUGCCCGGUGCCCGCCAAACAAAACACCAGAACUUGCAGGAUCGGUAAAUGUACAUACCAGUUGUACAUGGAAAUAAUGGUAAUAAUAUAUUAAAAUGUUAUAUUAUUUAUAUUUAUACAGUAGUAACAAGAAAUUCUUGACAGGAGUCAUAGUUUGUCUAGUUUGGUUAUGUUGGUUUGUGAUGACAACUACGAAAUAUAAAUAUUGUAAAUAAUAAUAAAUAAUAAACUGCGGAUUUUCCACA
Long non-coding RNA from Anolis carolinensis (green anole), 12094 nucleotides. RefSeq lists it as uncharacterized. The record is from RefSeq and is a predicted model, not a curated record. The transcript is spliced from 2 exons. Lineage: Eukaryota; Metazoa; Chordata; Lepidosauria; Squamata; Anolidae.